GAUGAACGCUAGCGGGAGACCUAACACAUGCAAGCCGAGCGGUAUUGUUUCUUCGGAAAUGAGAGAGCGGCGUACGGGUGCGUAACACGUGUGCAACCUGCCUUUAUCUGGGGGAUAGCCUUUCGAAAGGAAGAUUAAUACUCCAUAAUAUAUUGAACGGCAUCGUUUAAUAUUGAAAGCUCCGGCGGAUAGAGAUGGGCACGCGCAAGAUUAGCUAGUUGGUGAGGUAACGGCUCACCAAGGCGAUGAUCUUUAGGGGGCCUGAGAGGGUGAUCCCCCACACUGGUACUGAGACACGGACCAGACUCCUACGGGAGGCAGCAGUGAGGAAUAUUGGUCAAUGGGUGCAAGCCUGAACCAGCCAUCCCGUGUGAAGGACGACUGCCCUAUGGGUUGUAAACUUCUUUUGUAUAGGGAUAAACCUACCCUCGAGAGGGUAGCUGAAGGUACUAUACGAAUAAGCACCGGCUAACUCCGUG
This 479-nucleotide ribosomal RNA is filed under the name uncultured bacterium. RNAcentral's name for it is "partial 16S ribosomal RNA". It matches the Rfam family "Bacterial small subunit ribosomal RNA", at positions 28 to 507 of the family's 1533-position model. The record is from RNAcentral.